UGGGGAAUAUUGCGCAAUGGGGGAAACCCUGACGCAGCAACGCCGCGUGAUUGAAGAAGGCCUUCGGGUUGUAAAGAUCUUUAAUCAGGGACGAAACAAAUGACGGUACCUGAAGAAUAAGCUCCGGCUAACUACGUGCCAGCAGCCGCGGUAAUACGUAGGGAGCAAGCGUUAUCCGGAUUUACUGGGUGUAAAGGGCGCGCAGGCGGGCCGGCAAGUUGGAAGUGAAAUCUAUGGGCUUAACCCAUAAACUGCUUUCAAAACUGCUGGUCUUGAGUGAUGGAGAGGCAGGCGGAAUUCCGUGUGUAGCGGUGAAAUGCGUAGAUAUACGGAGGAACACCAGUGGCGAAGGCGGCCUGCUGGACAUUAACUGACGCUGAGGCGCGAAAGCGUGGGGAGCAAACAGG
This 407-nucleotide ribosomal RNA is filed under the name uncultured bacterium. RNAcentral's name for it is "bacterial SSU rRNA". It matches the Rfam family "Bacterial small subunit ribosomal RNA", at positions 355 to 776 of the family's 1533-position model. The record is from RNAcentral. RNAcentral also lists the same sequence under 1 other name.